Molecule: ribosomal RNA, 450 nt
Filed under: uncultured bacterium
Lineage: Bacteria
Description: partial 16S ribosomal RNA
Rfam family: Bacterial small subunit ribosomal RNA
Source: RNAcentral
CCUACGGGGGGCUGCAGUGGGGAAUUUUGGACAAUGGACGCAAGUCUGAUCCAGCCAUGCCGCGUGCGGGAAGAAGGCCUUCGGGUUGUAAACCGCUUUUGUCAGGGAAGAAAAGGUUCUGGCUAAUACCUGGGACUCAUGACGGUACCUGAAGAAUAAGCACCGGCUAACUACGUGCCAGCAGCCGCGGUAAUACGUAGGGUGCAUGCGUUAAUCAGAAUUACUGGGCGUAAAGCGUGAAGAGGCGGUUGAAAUCCCCGGGCUCAACCUGGGAACUGCCUUUGUGACUGCAUAGCUAGAGUACGGUAGAGGGGGAUGGAAUUCCGCGUGUAGCAGUGAAAUGCGUAGAUAUGCGGAGGAACACCGAUGGCGAAGGCAAUCCCCUGGACCUGUACUGACGCUCAUGCACGAAAGCGUGGGGAGCAAACAGGAUUAGAUACCCCAGUAGUC